GAUGAACGCUGGCGGCGUGCCUAACACAUGCAAGUCGAACGGGGUGAGAUCCUUCGGGAUUUCACUUAGUGGCGAACGGGUGAGUAACGCGUGAGAAACCUGCCUUUCAGUGGGGGACAACAGUUGGAAACGACUGCUAAUACCGCAUAAGACCACAGUACCGCAUGGUACAGGGGUAAAAGAUUUAUCGGUUUGGGGUGAGUUCGCGUCUGAUUAGCUAGUUGGUGAGGUAACGGCCCACCAAGGCGACGAUCAGUAGCCGAUCUGAGAGGAUGACCGGCCACAUUGGAACUGAGACACGGUCCAAACUCCUACGGGAGGCAGCAGUGGGGAAUAUUGGGCAAUGGGCGAAAGCCUGACCCAGCAACGCCGCGUGAGGGAAGAAGGUUUUCGGAUUGUAAACCUCUGUCCUAAGGGAAGAAGGAAGUGACGGUACCUUAGGAGGAAGCCCCGGCUAACUACGUGCCAGCAGCCGCGGU
RNAcentral lists this ribosomal RNA (479 nucleotides) under uncultured bacterium. RNAcentral describes it as "bacterial SSU rRNA". It matches the Rfam family "Bacterial small subunit ribosomal RNA", at positions 28 to 521 of the family's 1533-position model. The record is from RNAcentral.